Molecule: transfer RNA, 73 nt
Filed under: Heliobacteriaceae bacterium
Lineage: Bacteria; Bacillati; Bacillota; Clostridia; Eubacteriales; Heliobacteriaceae
Description: tRNA-Arg
Rfam family: tRNA
About the family: Transfer RNA (tRNA) molecules are approximately 80 nucleotides in length. Their secondary structure includes four short double-helical elements and three loops (D, anti-codon, and T loops).
Source: RNAcentral
GUGCCCGUAUAUCAGCGGAUAGAUAGCCACUCUCCGAAGGUGGAAGUCGUGAGUUCAAAUCUCACCGGGCACG